Molecule: ribosomal RNA, 506 nt
Filed under: uncultured bacterium
Lineage: Bacteria
Description: partial 16S ribosomal RNA
Rfam family: Bacterial small subunit ribosomal RNA
Source: RNAcentral
AUUGAACGCUGGCGGCAGGCCUAACACAUGCAAGUCGAGCGGCAGCGGGGGAAAGCUUGCUUUCCCGCCGGCGAGCGGCGGACGGGUGAGUAAUGUCUGGGAAACUGCCUGAUGGAGGGGGAUAACUACUGGAAACGGUAGCUAAUACCGCAUAACGUCUUCGGACCAAAGUGGGGGACCUUCGGGCCUCAUGCCAUCAGAUGUGCCCAGAUGGGAUUAGCUAGGAGGUGGGGUAACGGCUCACCUAGGCGACGAUCCCUAGCUGGUCUGAGAGGAUGACCAGCCACACUGGAACUGAGACACGGUCCAGACUCCUACGGGAGGCAGCAGUGGGGAAUAUUGCACAAUGGGCGCAAGCCUGAUGCAGCCAUGCCGCGUGUAUGAAGAAGGCCUUCGGGUUGUAAAGUACUUUCAGCGGGGAGGAAGGUGUUGUGGUUAAUAACCAGAGCAAUUGACGUUACCCGCAGAAGAAGCACCGGCUAACUCCGUGCCAGCCGCCGCCGUAA